AUUGAACGCUGGCGGCAUGCUUUACACAUGCAGGUCGAACGGCAGCGCGGGCUUCGGCCUGGCGGCGAGUGGCGAACGGGUGAGUAAUACAUCGGAACGUGCCCAGUAGUGGGGGAUAGCUCGGCGAAAGCCGGAUUAAUACCGCAUACGACCUGAGGGUGAAAGCGGGGGAUCUUCGGACCUCGCGCUAUUUGAGCGGCCGAUGGCAGAUUAGCUAGUUGGUGGGGUAAAGGCCUACCAAGGCGACGAUCUGUAGCUGGUCUGAGAGGACGACCAGCCACACUGGGACUGAGACACGGCCCAGACUCCUACGGGAGGCAGCAGUGGGGAAUUUUGGACAAUGGGCGAAAGCCUGAUCCAGCAAUGCCGCGUGUGUGAUGAAGGCCUUCGGGUUGUAAAGCACUUUUGGCGGGAACGAAAAGGACUGUGCCAAUACCACGGUUCGAUGACGGUACCCGCAGAAUAAGCACCGGCUAACUACGUG
Molecule: ribosomal RNA, 484 nt
Filed under: uncultured bacterium
Lineage: Bacteria
Description: partial 16S ribosomal RNA
Rfam family: Bacterial small subunit ribosomal RNA
Source: RNAcentral